RNAcentral lists this transfer RNA (73 nucleotides) under Anneissia japonica. RNAcentral's name for it is "tRNA-Lys". It matches the Rfam family "tRNA". Rfam says of the family: Transfer RNA (tRNA) molecules are approximately 80 nucleotides in length. Their secondary structure includes four short double-helical elements and three loops (D, anti-codon, and T loops). The record is from RNAcentral. Lineage: Eukaryota; Metazoa; Echinodermata; Crinoidea; Comatulida; Comatulidae.
GUCCGGUUAGCUCAGUCGGUAGAGCAUCAGACUUUUAAUCUGAGGGUCAAGGGUUCAAGUCCCUUAUUGGGCG